This 435-nucleotide ribosomal RNA is filed under the name uncultured bacterium. Its description in RNAcentral is "bacterial LSU rRNA". It matches the Rfam family "Bacterial large subunit ribosomal RNA", at positions 58 to 497 of the family's 2925-position model. The record is from RNAcentral.
GUGAUAAGCUGCGAUAAGCCCCGGGUAGGUGCAAAUAACCUUUGAUCCGGGGAUUUCCGAAUGGGACAGCCUGGCCGUCUGAAGGACGGUCAUCCUGACCCAGAGUCAGGAGGCUAACGCAGGGAACUGAAACAUCUUAGUACCUGCAGGAAGAGAAAAUAAAUAAUGAUUCCCCCAGUAGUGGCGAGCGAACGGGGAACAGCCCAAACCGUCGACGUCGCAAGGCGCCGGCGGGGUUGUAGGACCGCGACAUUGUAUUGCGAUGGCGAGUGGAAGUAUCUGGAAAGUUACAUCAUAGAAGGUGACAGUCCUGUACACGAAGCCAAAAUCAAGCAUAGCGGUAUCCUGAGUAACGCGGGACACGAGGAAUCCUGCGCGAAUCUGCCGGGACCAUCCGGUAAGGACUAAAUACUCCGUGAGACCGAUAGCGUACGA